Molecule: non-coding RNA, 72 nt
Organism: Phrynosoma platyrhinos (Desert horned lizard)
Lineage: Eukaryota; Metazoa; Chordata; Lepidosauria; Squamata; Phrynosomatidae
Source: the annotation of a GenBank genome assembly
GCCAAUGUGGUACAGUGGUUUGAGCACUGGGUUUUGAUUCUGGAGAUCAGGGUUCAAAUCCUUGCUAUUCCA